Molecule: ribosomal RNA, 168 nt
Filed under: Escherichia coli
Lineage: Bacteria; Pseudomonadati; Pseudomonadota; Gammaproteobacteria; Enterobacterales; Enterobacteriaceae
Also listed under: 2 other names
Description: partial 23S ribosomal RNA
Rfam family: Bacterial large subunit ribosomal RNA
Source: RNAcentral
GAUAAGUGCUGAAAGCAUCUAAGCACGAAACUUGCCCCGAGAUGAGUUCUCCCUGACCCUUUAAGGGUCCUGAAGGAACGUUGAAGACGACGACGUUGAUAGGCCGGGUGUGUAAGCGCAGCGAUGCGUUGAGCUAACCGGUACUAAUGAACCGUGAGGCUUAACCUU